Molecule: ribosomal RNA, 399 nt
Filed under: Salmonella enterica subsp. enterica
Lineage: Bacteria; Pseudomonadati; Pseudomonadota; Gammaproteobacteria; Enterobacterales; Enterobacteriaceae
Description: partial 23S ribosomal RNA
Rfam family: Bacterial large subunit ribosomal RNA
Source: RNAcentral
GGUUUACCUGUGUGACUGCGUACCUUUUGUAUAAUGGGUCAGCGACUUAUAUUCUGUAGCAAGGUUAACCGUAUAGGGGAGCCGGAGGGAAACCGAGUCUUAACCGGGCGUUAAGUUGCAGGGUAUAGACCCGAAACCCGGUGAUCUAGCCAUGGGCAGGUUGAAGGUUGGGUAACACUAACUGGAGGACCGAACCGACUAAUGUUGAAAAAUUAGCGGAUGACCUGUGGCUGGGGGUGAAAGGCCAAUCAAACCGGGAGAUAGCUGGUUCUCCCCGAAAGCUAUUUAGGUAGCGCCUCGUGAAUUCAUCUCCGGGGGUAGAGCACUGUUUCGGCUAGGGGGCCAUCCCGGCUUACCAACCCGAUGCAAACUGCGAAUACCGGAGAAUGUUAUCACGGG